Molecule: non-coding RNA, 469 nt
Organism: Salvelinus sp. IW2-2015
Lineage: Eukaryota; Metazoa; Chordata; Actinopteri; Salmoniformes; Salmonidae
Source: RefSeq, a predicted model, not a curated record
UUUUGUUUCCCGUUUGAGAACUUUACAUGGUGUUUUCCCCUGUCUGAGCCGAACGCUACUCGAUGCUAUGGAGUCAGUUAUUCUGUGAAAUCAGUGUAGAAUGUACAGGAACGCGACGGCCAGAGUGGUGAGGAGAAGGAGGAGAAGGUGGAGGCCGAACGCUACUCGAUGCUAUGGAGUCAGUUAUCUGUGAAAUCAGUGUAGAAUGUACAGGACAGCGACGGCCAGAGUGGUGAGGAGAAGGAGGAGAAGGUGGAGGCCGAACGCUACUCGAUGCUAUGGAGUCAGUUAUCUGUGAAAUCAGUGUAGAAUGUACAGGACAGCGACGGCCAGAGUGGUGAGGAGAAGGUGGAGCGCGAACGCUACUCGAUGCUAUGGAGUCAGUUAUCUGUGAAAUCAGUGUAGAAUGUACAGGACAGCGACGGCCAGAGUGGUGAGGAGAAGGAGGAGAAGGUGGAGGCCGAACGCU